This 322-nucleotide ribosomal RNA is filed under the name Blackburnia fractistriata. RNAcentral describes it as "partial 28S ribosomal RNA". Lineage: Eukaryota; Metazoa; Arthropoda; Insecta; Coleoptera; Carabidae. The record is from RNAcentral.
GAUGGUUCGAUUAGUCUUUCGCCCCUAUACCCAGUUCAUACGAUCGAUUUGCACGUCAGAAUCGCUACGGACCUCCAUCAGGGUUUCCCCUGACUUCAUCCUGACCAGGCAUAGUUCACCAUCUUUCGGGUCCCAGCGUGUACGCUCUUGGUGCGCCGCAACUUGCAAUAAGUAUGCGACGCCCCGGGAAUGCGAGGUAACAUAAAUAACGUUACCCAUCUUCCCUUUAUAAAAUAUAAUUAUAAAAAUUAUAUAUAUAUUUACUUUCAUUACGCCUUUAGGUUUAUUAUAAAUACCCAAUGACUUGCGGACAUGCUAGAUG